This is a long non-coding RNA of Monodelphis domestica (gray short-tailed opossum), 2137 nucleotides long. RefSeq lists it as uncharacterized. NCBI's taxonomy places the organism in Eukaryota, Metazoa, Chordata, Mammalia, Didelphimorphia, Didelphidae. The record is from RefSeq and is a predicted model, not a curated record.
CUAUUAGUGUCAGCUGACACUGUAUUCCAAAAUAACUGUCAACUGUAAAUCCACCAAACUGUACUAGCUAACAGCCAUCUUUCUAGAAUAAAUGAUAUUGAGUUUUAAAAAAUUGAUGAAAUCACAGAGGCACAUCUAAUUAGAUUUGACAAGGAGCUGAAAGGAUUCCAUUUGUUCUUGACAAGAAGAUACUGCUUGUUUUCUACACAAACAAAAGCCACAAAAUAAUUUCAACAAAAAUAAUGGAUUUAAGAUGAAUGUACUUGGCCUUUAUCAGCAAUAUCCCUGAAAAGAGGUAUCACUGAGAGGGAAAAGUCAAGCUGUUAGCAAGUGUUUCUCGACAGCAGCCUGGUGACUGGAUACUUGUCCUUGAAGAACCUGCAGAAUUGGAUGAUUUUUCACUUUGAUGGCACUAAGUAAGGUCAAACAAUAGUUUCACAGUCUGCAAGGGAUACCUCAGUGAAGCAGGCACAGUGAACUGUUCAUGACUAUUAACCUAUUUUUAAUCUAGAAGUUAAUAGAAAGAAGCCAUCAGUAAAGGAUUGAGACAGAUAGAAUAUUAGGAAUCCAUGCUUGUGCUUAUAAUGGUUUGUCUGGCUCUCUGAUGGCUUCUCAUGUGCUGGUGGACAGAAGCAGCAAGCACAUACAAGAGAACCCUCACUCUAAACUGUGGGAUUAAUCCUGGUCCUAGACAAGGGUUAUACAUCCUGAGCUGAUUUAACAUUGUCACUGGGUCAGCACCCAGACAGUUUUGUUGAUGUGCCUGCUUGACCUUGGUAAUAUUCAAACUGGCUUAGUUUCUUACAAUCGAUCUCCAGUUUGCAAGAGGGAGCGCCGAAACAUACAGGUCAGAAUUCUGUGUGAGGUCUGAACUUAUAGCUAUCACUUGUCAUUUGGAUAAUUGCUAUUGUCUCAUUCUCCUCUAGCUAAAUUGAUAACUCAGAUUUUGUUUCCCCCUGGUUUUGUAUCUUUUCCCCUGAAUCUGAUUCUCCUAGUCACAAAUUUACUUGUGCUUAGAGAUAAGAUUGUUGUUGUUUUUUUCAAAGAGCAGUCAUUACAGGACAAGAUAUCAAUGGGCCAAAAACAUGUUUUGUUUUGUUUUUAUUCAUGUGCCUUUCCCAGCCCCUUCUACCUUCUUAGUAAAUUAGCCUCAGUGGAAAUCUUAUUGCCCUUCUCAGCUAAACUUGUUGAUACUCAGUGCUGAAAAUUUCAUCAACAAAAUUUCAAAAUCCCAGGAAAUUUGAUAGAACAUAGAUAAACUGCCUGAGUCAAAGUCGUGGGGUUUAUUACUGCCAUAGUAUUGUCACAAUAAUUUUUCUUGAGUAGCCUCUCUUGCCUGCAUGCAAAUAUACUAAAGUAUCUCUUUCAUUUUUUUAAGGUAAAUGCGGUUAAAUAACUUGCCUAGGGCAACUAGGAAGUAUCUGAGGGGGGAUUUGAACUCAGUAAGAUGCAUCUUCUAGACUCCAGACCCCGAUCUCUAUCCACUGAAUCACCUAGCUGCCCCUCUCCUUCAAUUUCUAAAGUGUCCUUAAGUAAUCUGUACUCAGCGACUUCAUUUCAUUAAUAUAUGUGUCACACACACACACACACACACACACAUACACACACACACAUAUAUUCUUUAACCUCAUACCUUCUGUCCCUAUCAUUAACAGAUUAUCUACUAUCUUCUAAUUAAGGGCCCUUAUUUAUCCUCACUUUGGUGCUUCUGACAAGUCUAUCUGACUGUAGCUAUCUUUCUCCUCCUCCCUAACACCAAGCUACACAUAUCUAUAAAAAUGAGGCUUCGAAAUAAAAUAGCCUCCAGACUUUGGGAUUCAUGGAUAGGAAUGCUUAUUUUUCUUUAUUUGCUUCUUUUCUUUCCUUGUUUUCUUCUUUUACCUUAGUUUCUUCCAGUUGGCGCUGGAGAUUUUUUGGAUCCAUGGCAAUGGGUUCCAAUAAGUGCUUGUUUGCUGCUGUCUCACAGGACUGGAGCCCAGAGAGAAGUCCAGCAGAGGCAUCUUCAUAGUGCUGAUAUUUAUCUACGAGGUCUUUCAGAUUAUUUCCAAGCAUACUGCACUGAAUAAUUAGAAGGGAAAUUUUAAGAAUACCUUAUAUAUCAUUGCUGACAUCUGUAUAAGUGGCUUUUAGAAGGCAA